UGGCUUGAAUUAAGAUGACAAAGGUAGAGAUGGGGAGAGGUGGAUGAACUUGAGAGCUAUUUCAAGGAUAAAAUCUAAACGCAUACCCUAGAGUUCAGGGAUGUGGAUUAGGACACCCUACUGGAUCCCACAGAGAAGGAUGAUUCAAGGGAUAUCUCCCUGGGGAGGGGGGUGUGGUUCUUGUUUGUGGACCUACUGGUUUAUUUACCAGAACAUGGCUCUUCUAUGCUAUCAUUUUUGCAUCUUGGGUCAAAAGACAACAAGGUUGCUGACUGGGUGACCUCUGGUCUGGCAUCCUCUGGCCAGGCGGGUCCUGCUGCACUUGACUGAGAAAGCUGGCCGCUCUGACGGCUGCUACAUUUGGUUGAAAUUUCUUUUUCUUUGUAACCUAGUAAUGCAAUAUACCUGGAGUUCCAUUUAUAUUAUUAAGCUUUUAAUACAUUUCGUAAGUAAUAUCCUACUUAUUGAAAACAUUUACUGUUUAGGAUUUUCAUUAGAUCACUUGGAUAAAUGCAGAAUUCCCUUGAAGUUGACAACAAUGAGGAAACUUACAAAACAAGUGAUUUGUCAAAAGCUCAAAUCUGAAUAAUUAUGUUAGUUUUGGAGGUCUAGGUAAUUAAUACGGUUUGGAAAUAGAGGAUCUUAGUGGGUUAUAAGCACAGUAUAUCUUCAUGAAUCGGGCUUUCUGGGAAGAUGUGCCACACACUCAACAGACCUGAUUUCCUUUCUUCCUGUGACUGCAUUUCCCAGCCUCCCCUGCAGCUAGGUAAGAUCAUGUAAUGGAAUUCUGGCCAAUGGAAUAUGAAUGGAGUUAAUGUGGGUAACCUCCAUGAUGGGCACAGAAACACCUCCCAGGAAAAAGUCUUGAUUUUUCCUCAUGUCUGCUGACUACAUAUCGACUCUUGAAUAGACUUGAGUAUCUGCUGUUGAAGAAGGCAGAGGCUCUGUCAGCCUGGGCCCCUGAGUGACUUCAUGAAGUAUACCAUCUCUCCAACUGGAUUUUAUCUUUCAGUGGUUCAGUUUUUCUCCACUGUUUCCACCAAAAUACCAUCAACAGUAAGGAAGAACAAUGUGGACCACCAGAAGGCUGGGGUGUUUCCUGAAGCUGCCCCUGCUUGGACUUUGGUUGGAAGUCAUGAUUGAGGGUUCAUGCUGGCGCUCCCCCAGUGAACCUAGCUCACCUACCCUCUGCUCAGGCUCUCAUCUCUCUUCCUCUCUUCUAAGGGAGGCUACUGCUGGGCUCAGUGAGGAGCUGGGUUCAAGGAGAGCUGGGGCUCUGAUGGAGUCCUGGGGAGAAGGCCUUCAUAAGUCCUGAGUGAGUGGACCUGCUCUCUCUGGCCCUGAAUGCAUCAAGAGGCAACUGGGUGUGUGGGCUGAGUCUUUCCUGGCCCUGAAGCUGGAAGUGGAGGCUUUGUCCAGGAUCCUCAGCAGAGGACUGAAAGCCUGUGCUUUCAUAAUCCAAGCCACAUUGGCAAGUGUGCUGCCUCCUACCACCUUUGAGACAGUUGCCUUUGGGAGCGCGUCUACCAGGAGCCAACAAAGAAAAGCAACAGCCUCCUGGAGGGGCCUUGCUCCGGGGAGAGAACGGUGAGGCAGCUCAGGCAGAGCUGGUGUAGGAGACACAAGACAGUGUGAAAUUUCAAAAUCAGAGCACGGAAGGAGAUUCAAAUAUGGCACAAAAAGACUUUCUGGAGCUAAAAAUCAUAAUUUCCUAACUAAAUACCGUUCAGUAGAUUAACUGAAAAAGAGGAAGAUCACCAUGGAGAUCUGGUCGGCUCUCCUGGAGGGUCAAAGGGCAGACAGACCCCUUGAUGAAAAGGGUGGUAUAGAGCAAAUGUAGAAAGAGAUGGGAAGCAAGUAGAAAUGGGUAAGGAACGUGGGGUGGAUCCUAAAACCUUGACUUGUGAAUAGAGAAACCUUGACUUGCAGAAAGAGGAAAAAAUAGAACCAGCGGAGGAGAGGUGACCAUGAUACUAACAAUAGAAGAAAACUUCCCUGAACUG
This 2003-nucleotide long non-coding RNA is filed under the name Pongo abelii (Sumatran orangutan). Its description in RNAcentral is "lincRNA". Lineage: Eukaryota; Metazoa; Chordata; Mammalia; Primates; Hominidae. The record is from RNAcentral.